Podarcis lilfordi (Lilford's wall lizard) is the source of this 69-nucleotide non-coding RNA. The record is from the annotation of a GenBank genome assembly. Lineage: Eukaryota; Metazoa; Chordata; Lepidosauria; Squamata; Lacertidae.
GGAUAGCUCAGUUGGAAGAGCAUGAGACUCUUACUUUCAGGGUUGUGGGUUCGAGUCCUGUGUUGGGCA